RNAcentral lists this ribosomal RNA (762 nucleotides) under Triticum aestivum (bread wheat). RNAcentral describes it as "partial small subunit ribosomal RNA". The record is from RNAcentral. Lineage: Eukaryota; Viridiplantae; Streptophyta; Magnoliopsida; Poales; Poaceae.
AUGCAGGAGAUGGACCGGUCGAGCGAGGAGAAUGUGAAGAUCGUCGAGAUGGACAGCGGCGAGCAGCCAGCGCGGCGCGGCGGGGCGAAGGGCGGCGACAGGCAGUUCUCCUCCAUCGAGUACCACCACGGCGGCAGGUGCUCGCCGGCGCCGUCGGCCAUGACAGAGCUGAGCCCGAGGGCGAGCAGCUGGCACGUGGAGGACCACCUGUCCUUCGGGACGGCGCACAGCAGCCCGCACUCCCACUCCCACAACGCGACGGCGGCCAUGGCGGAGCCAGCGGCGUCGGACUUGCCGUUCCCGAGCUACAUGAGCAACACCGAGUCGUCGAGGGCCAAGGCGCGGUCCCAGAGCGCGCCGAGGCAGCGCGCGGCCGCGGAGGCGCUGGAGCGGCAACCGAGCAGGAGGAAGGGGGCGGAGCACAGGAGCGUGCCGCGGGGCGCCAGGAUGCAGCGGUCGUCGUCGCAGCAGCAGGCCGGGUCGGCGCCGCGCCAGUCGCCCUUCUUCCACCGGCCGUGGUCGUCGUCGACGUCGGUGAGGCUGGACACGUCGACGGCGUCGCUCAAGGAUAGCGAGUGCGGGUCCACCACCAGCUCCGUGGUCACCGCGGCCACCACCGUGUCCACCGUCUACAGCCGGACCCGCUCGCUCGUCGGAUUCGAGGAGAGGAGCUCGGGCUCGAGGGGAUCCUCCCCUCGAUCCAGACCGGGCGCCGCCGUGCGGGGGUUUUCUGCAAAAAAAAAAUGCCACGUCGGCAGCUGA